This 305-nucleotide ribosomal RNA is filed under the name uncultured bacterium. RNAcentral describes it as "bacterial SSU rRNA". It matches the Rfam family "Bacterial small subunit ribosomal RNA", at positions 335 to 638 of the family's 1533-position model. The record is from RNAcentral.
UAGCCUACGGGGGGCAGCAGUGAGGAAUAUUGGUCAAUGGGCGGGAGCCUGAACCAGCCAAGCCGCGUGAAGGAAGAAGGCGCCAAGCGUCGUAAACUUCUUUUGUCGGGGAACAAAGGGCGCCACGUGUGGCGUUGUGAGUGUACCCGAAGAAAAAGCAUCGGCUAACUCCGUGCCAGCAGCCGCGGUAAUACGGAGGAUGCGAGCGUUAUCCGGAUUUAUUGGGUUUAAAGGGUGCGUAGGCGGAAUGCCAAGUCAGCGGUAAAAUCGCGGGGCUCAACCUCGCUCCGCCGUUGAAACUGGCG